Nyctereutes procyonoides (raccoon dog) is the source of this 1549-nucleotide long non-coding RNA. RefSeq lists it as uncharacterized. NCBI's taxonomy places the organism in Eukaryota, Metazoa, Chordata, Mammalia, Carnivora, Canidae. The transcript is spliced from 5 exons. The record is from RefSeq and is a predicted model, not a curated record.
CGGGGGGGUCCGAGGAGGCGGAGGCGCUGGCGGAGUGACACGCGCGGAGGGUGAGGGUCAGCCCGGCCUAGGAGUAGGUUCCAUACCCAUGAUGGAGCCCAAUACAGAGCUCGAACUCAUGAUCCUGAGAUCAAAACCUGAGCUGAAAUCAAGACUCAAAUACUUAAGCAACUAAGUCACCCAGGUGCCUCGAGAAUUCUUCUAACUGAACAUGUAUGAGUUUGGAGACUUCUGAUCAAUUACAUACAAGUAGUUUUCAUGGACCAAUAUCUAUAAAGGCCAUUUGGAAGCUUCAAACAGCAUUUCCGAUUUUGAGGCACAAAGAGGUGAGAACUUGGGGAUCCACCGAAGUCUGAGGCACGGUGGUACCAGAAGAGAUGAAGGGGCCUUCUGCAUGAAGCUGGUCCCCCGUUGACAGCACUCUGAUUUCUCCAUUGGGUUCUAUCAGCAUAUCCACCGUCAGGUUGGUGACACUUUCUACAGACCACGCUGGUGAAAAUACCAGAGUAAUAAGUCAGUGAAUUCCAAAAGUGAAGAUUUUGGUCGGAUCUGGUGCCACGAUAGGAAAGUCUGAAUCUUCUCAAGGGCAUCCCUGUCUCACCCAGGGGCAUGGAGGACAGACGUCCAGAAGCAAAUGGCACAGUCGGAGGCAGAGAGUAAAAACUCGUUCUGAAUCUGUUCCAAAUACCCGUGUCUGCUCUGUGGUUUUCAGCAAAGCAGAUAUUUCCAAAAGAACUCCAAGGGGGACUUCCUGGAUGUGAAAACACGAACCAAUUCUCGUUUCUCUCAUCUUUUGCUUUAUUCCUUCCUUCCACGCUGUUAUUGCGAAAAACUGGCAGUUAAAUUCAAUUGAUUCAGAAUAUUCCGGAUCCAUAUGGCCGCCAACCCUGGAGCUGAGGCGGCCAUAGCGCCUCACUGCUGUUCUCAAGCAUUUGCCUCUCCCCUAGUCCCCAGAUGGUGGGAGUAGCAUUUAAACCUCCUUUUCUCUGCCUUGUACAAUAGACCUUGGCACCAUUUCAACUGUUUACUCCGGUAAUUAACAGCUCUGAUACCACAACAAUUACAACUCCUACACUCUCACCACAAUAAUGCUAUGAAUUAGUGAGAGCUAAUGGCUGGAAGGUAGAGUGUUUCCAGACUGUGAGAUCUGUGCAUUUUUAGAAUAAAAUAAAAGGUACAAACAGCACGCUUGCAGUAGACAAUGAUUACCUAGUAAUUAGUUUACACAAAGCUUCCUAUUUAAUGGCAAAACGCUGUAAUUAACGUGUGACAGAAAAUCAAAGGGUACUUUGUAAGCAUAUGAAAAAUUAACACUGCAGGCCCAUAGCUUUAUGUACUGAUUAGAAGCAUAUUAAAUCAAUAGGACACACAAACCAACAGCUUGUGUAGCUGGUUAUUAUAGGUCCUCGGAAGGGGGACCCGGCUUUCAUGUACUUGGGGAGGCAAUUUCCCUUCUCCUGUCCUCUUUCUCCAGCCCAGUAAAGUACCUCAAACCUUUCCCUGGCAGCUUCAUGAAAAUAACCAUUGAACUGGAAGAAAACAUUCUAAG